Molecule: ribosomal RNA, 465 nt
Filed under: Vreelandella stevensii
Lineage: Bacteria; Pseudomonadati; Pseudomonadota; Gammaproteobacteria; Oceanospirillales; Halomonadaceae
Description: partial 16S ribosomal RNA
Rfam family: Bacterial small subunit ribosomal RNA
Source: RNAcentral
CCUACGGGGGGCAGCAGUGGGGAAUAUUGGACAAUGGGGGGAACCCUGAUCCAGCCAUGCCGCGUGUGUGAAGAAGGCCCUCGGGUUGUAAAGCACUUUCAGUGAGGAAGAACGCCUGGUGGUUAAUACCCAUCAGGAAAGACAUCACUCACAGAAGAAGCACCGGCUAACUCCGUGCCAGCAGCCGCGGUAAUACGGAGGGUGCGAGCGUUAAUCGGAAUUACUGGGCGUAAAGCGCGCGUAGGUGGCUUGAUAAGCCGGUUGUGAAAGCCCCGGGCUCAACCUGGGAACGGCAUCCGGAACUGUCAAGCUAGAGUGCAGGAGAGGAAGGUAGAAUUCCCGGUGUAGCGGUGAAAUGCGUAGAGAUCGGGAGGAAUACCAGUGGCGAAGGCGGCCUUCUGGACUGACACUGACACUGAGGUGCAAAAGCGUGGGUAGCAAACAGGAUUAGAUACCCCGGUAGUC